GAUGAAGAACGCAGCGAAAUGCGAUAAGUAAUGUGAAUUGCAGAUCUCAGUGAAUCAUCGAAUCUUUGAACGCACCUUGCGCCCUUUGGUAUUCCAAAGGGCAUGCCUGUUUGAGUGUCAUUAAAUUCUCAAAGUUUAUGUUUUUAAGCUUUGGAUUUGAAGAUUGCUGG
RNAcentral lists this ribosomal RNA (170 nucleotides) under Tricholomopsis rutilans. RNAcentral describes it as "5.8S ribosomal RNA". The stretch from base 1 to 120 matches the Rfam family "5.8S ribosomal RNA", at positions 35 to 154 of the family's 154-position model. From Rfam's summary of the family: 5.8S ribosomal RNA (5.8S rRNA) is a component of the large subunit of the eukaryotic ribosome. It is transcribed by RNA polymerase I as part of the 45S precursor that also contains 18S and 28S rRNA. The record is from RNAcentral. Lineage: Eukaryota; Fungi; Basidiomycota; Agaricomycetes; Agaricales.